GCGUUGCUCGGAAUUACUGGGCGUAAAGGGCGCGUAGGCGGCCAGCACAAGUCAGUUGUGAAAUCUCCGGGCUUAACUCGGAAAGGUCAACUGAUACUGUGCGACUAGAGUGCAGAAGGGGCAACUGGAAUUCUCGGUGUAGCGGUGAAAUGCGUAGAUAUCGAGAGGAACACCUGCGGCGAAGGCGGGUUGCUGGGCUGACACUGACGCUGAGGCGCGAAAGCCAGGGGAGCGAACGGG
Molecule: ribosomal RNA, 240 nt
Filed under: uncultured bacterium
Lineage: Bacteria
Description: partial 16S ribosomal RNA
Rfam family: Bacterial small subunit ribosomal RNA
Source: RNAcentral